CAAGAAUUUUGUUGGCCAGGUGCAGUGGCUCACACCUGUAAUCCCAGCACUUUGGAAGGCCCAGGCGGGCAGAUCACUUGAGGUCAGGAGUUCAAGACCAGCCUGGGCAACAUGGUGAUACCUCAUCUCUACUCAAAAUACAAAAAAAUUAGCUGGGUAUAGUGGCAGGCACCUGUAAUCCCAGUUACUUAGGAGGCUGAGACAGGAGAAUCGCUUGAACCCGGGUGGCGGAGGUUGCAGUGAGCCGAGAUCAUGCCAUUGCACUCCAGCCUGGGUGACAGAGCAAGACUCUGACUCAAAAAAAAAAAAAAAAAAAAAGAAUUUCGUCCUUCUGUGUAUAUGUCUUCUUUAAGGAGCUACCCCAUUCUGGGAAAGCACGGUUGGUACCAUGUGAAAAGGUGCCCCCAUCACCACAUUUACAAAGCAUGAGAUCAGGAAUUUAAAAGGCACCUUCACUGCCUCCCAUCUGCCUCCCCCACACUUGUCUGAUCCCCUCUUCCUACCACGUGUGUCCUCUCCUUCCUUCAGUUUCACACACGAUCCAAUUCUCUCAGCCCCCAGCAUGGGUUGCCUCCUGGUUGUGCCUCCUUGACUCAGCCCAUCCCUGGACAACAACAGCUCCUUCCAUGGCUUUACUUAGCUCCCUGGACCUCGCCUUCCAGGUCUUCUUAAGCAGCUCAACCCACCCCUAGUCCCACCUUCAAGGAAUGAACUUGUAUAAUAUUCUCUCUGAUCCUUUUGCAGUUAUGCAUAAUGACUGGGUUUUCACGCUUAUGAAUGAGAUGUGCCUCCCUCAAACAUUGUUAUAUGUCAGCACAUUAUGCAUCUGACAUGAGAAAAAAAAUUCUCCCUUGCUUCAAAACACUUUUGCAAAUUCUCUUCUAUGUGGAAAACAAACACAGAGAGGAAGUAGAGAUGAUGAAUGUGGACAACUCAUUUGAAAACUUGGGGUGAGAAGGAGAAAAUUGAGAUUGGGCUGUUCUUAGGGGGGAUAAGGUGUGCAGGAGUAGACUUGCUUGCUGUACCCUAUACCCAUUCUCCCUCCUGGUACAUUAAUAGAGUCUCUGUGUUUAACUGGUAUAUUAGGGCAUUCUUGUAUUGCUAUAAAGAAAUACUUGAGACUGGGUAAUUUAUAAAGAAAAGAGGUUUAAUUGGUUCAUUAAUUUAUAAAGAAAAGAUCUCAUGUGAACUAAAGUGUGAGCUCGCUUAUUACCAAAGAGAUGAUCCAAGCCACUCACGAGGGAUCCACCCCCAUGAUCAAAACACCUCCCACCAGGCCCCACCUCCAGCAUUGGGGAUUACAUUUCAACAUGAGAUUUGGGCAGGGACAAAUAUCCAAACGGUAUCAACUGGGUACCAGAAUAAUGGCUGAUCCCCAGCCUUCCUUGCAGCUAAGCAUGGCCAUGUUGCUAAAUUCUGGCCUGUUGGGAGGUGAUUGGAAGUCACACCCUCAUGUGGAAGGGCUCUCCAUCUCCCCAUCCCUCUUUCCCGAUGCUGCUUACAGCAGUGAGAGUUAUCAUGAACUGUGGAGACAAGGCCACCCCUAGGAAUGGUGGAGUGAGGACCCUUAAGAAGCUGAGCUCCCUGCCACUAAGGUAUUGCCCUGCCAGCUUAUGUGAGAAAUAAGUAAACUUUCAUCUUGUUUAAGCUUUUUAAGUGGAUUUGAUUAUUUGGGGACUUUAUAGCAGUCAAACCUGCUUCCUAAUUAAUAGUGGUGGAUAAAAGGAUCUUCACUUUCUUAUCUUUAAUGAAUUUUGAACGUAGUCUGAUGCCAAUUGGAAGAAUCCGGGAAAAAGUGAGGUUGAAAAUACAGAGUGAUCUGGAGUGAUGGUUAAUGCAAGUGUCCUGAGAAGGCAGGAGGAAAGAGGUGAAAGGGUGUGGGGGCGCUGGCCUUGAGGGACUGCGCCACCUGGACAAGGGGAGGGCAAAAUGGGAAGCUGGAUUCAGGAGACUUGAGAUUUGGCAGCAGGAAGUUGAGGCAGUUCCUGCCUCAUGCUUCUGAUUUUUCAGCAAAGCAGGAGGCAAGGUCCUCUAUGGAGAAAUCAAUCCAGAGCAGGAAGGUAAACCUGACAGAGCUUAUGUAAGGGCUCAGAGGUGGUAGCGUGGGCUGGGCAGCCCUUCCAUGACUGUCUGCAUUUAUGUUGUCUAAGAGCACAAGAGCUAAAAACCAGACACUGUGACAACUUAACUCUAUGUCAAGUACUACACAAGGUCAUCACUGAAUAGGACUUGAGAGUAAACAUUUGUUCUAUGAUUUUGAUCUUUAAAAAUAAGAAUAUAGCUGGGUGUGGUGGGCACACACCUGCAGUCAUAGCUACUGGAGAGGCUGAGGCGGGAACAGUGCUGGAGCCCAGAAGCCUUGGGCUGUAGCACACUGUGACCAUUAGGUGUUUGCACUAAGUGGAGCGGGGGUGCCACCAGGUUGCCUAAGGAGGAGUGAACCAGCCCAGGUCAGAAACUGAGCAGGUCAAAACUCCUGUGUUGAUCAGUAAUGGGAUUGCACCUGUGAAUAG
RNAcentral lists this long non-coding RNA (2513 nucleotides) under Homo sapiens (human). RNAcentral's name for it is "HSALNT0032786". The stretch from base 2281 to 2513 matches the Rfam family "Metazoan signal recognition particle RNA", at positions 1 to 255 of the family's 299-position model. Lineage: Eukaryota; Metazoa; Chordata; Mammalia; Primates; Hominidae. The record is from RNAcentral.